UUGAAAGGGAAACGAUUGAAGUCAGUCGUUCUGACGGGAAAUCAACUUCUCGAGUGCCUGUCGUGAAUGACGUUGAGCUUCACGGCCUUCGUUGCUUACGUUAUGGUGCUUUUGAGGUGUACUUUCCGUAUGGUAGGUCAACAUCGAUUUUGAUCGUCAUAAAAUGAUCGGAGGAAUGUGGCUCUGAUCUCGUAUCGGAGUGUUAUAGCCUUUGGUAGAUGUGACGAUUGGGAUCGAGGAUUGCAACGAAUACCCUUUUGGGCUAUCCGUCUGACCUCUGAAAGUCGCUCGGGUGUUGAAAGCGUGCUUAUGACAUUCUAGUUGGCGGUCAAAAGGUUAGAACGUGAUUACAUUCGUUAAGGAUGUUGACGUA
This 373-nucleotide ribosomal RNA is filed under the name uncultured Glomeromycotina. RNAcentral's name for it is "LSU rRNA". The record is from RNAcentral. Lineage: Eukaryota; Fungi; Glomeromycota.